Molecule: unclassified non-coding RNA, 329 nt
Filed under: Hevea brasiliensis (rubber tree)
Lineage: Eukaryota; Viridiplantae; Streptophyta; Magnoliopsida; Malpighiales; Euphorbiaceae
Source: RNAcentral
CCCCAUCCUGUGGGUGUCCUUCAGUGGAAUGAUUCAUAGCUACAGAUGCCAUAACAAAAGCACAAGAAGUCCCCACAGAGAAGCAAAAGUCAAUAAACCCUUUCUUUGCAACUUCUCCAAAUUCCUAGGAUCCCAGCAGCAACAGAAACUAAGGAGUAGGGAUUUCAAUAGUUAAGUUCAGACUAGUGAGAAAAAGGGAAAACGUAUAUGAGAUCAAGUGUUUAAUGGAAUCCCCAGUUUAGCUGUGCUUCUGAGGCUUCUUUCUUUUUUCUUUUUUUUUUUUCCUCCUUUUUGACAAAAUAGUUUCCCCAUAUAUAUACUAGUCAAAC